CCUACGGGAGGCAGCAGUGGGGAAUAUUGGACAAUGGGGGGAACCCUGAUCCAGCCAUGCCGCGUGUGUGAAGAAGGCCCUCGGGUUGUAAAGCACUUUCAGUGAGGAAGAACGCCUGGUGGUUAAUACCCAUCAGGAAAGACAUCACUCACAGAAGAAGCACCGGCUAACUCCGUGCCAGCAGCCGCGGUAAUACGGAGGGUGCGAGCGUUAAUCGGAAUUACUGGGCGUAAAGCGCGCGUAGGUGGCUUGAUAAGCCGGUUGUGAAAGCCCCGGGCUCAACCUGGGAACGGCAUCCGGAACUGUCAAGCUAGAGUGCAGGAGAGGAAGGUAGACUUCCCGGUGUAGCGGUGAAAUGCGUAGAGAUCGGGAGGAAUACCAGUGGCGAAGGCGGCCUUCUGGACUGACACUGACACUGAGGUGCGAAAGCGUGGGUAGCAAACAGGAUUAGAUACCCCUGUAGUC
RNAcentral lists this ribosomal RNA (465 nucleotides) under Vreelandella stevensii. RNAcentral's name for it is "partial 16S ribosomal RNA". It matches the Rfam family "Bacterial small subunit ribosomal RNA", at positions 338 to 795 of the family's 1533-position model. Lineage: Bacteria; Pseudomonadati; Pseudomonadota; Gammaproteobacteria; Oceanospirillales; Halomonadaceae. The record is from RNAcentral.